UACGUAGGUGGCAAGCGUUGUCCGGAAUCAUUGGGCGUAAAGCGCGCGUAGGUGGCCUCAUAAGUCCGUUGUGAAAGUCAAAGGCUCAACCUUUGAAAGCCGAUGGAUACUGUGAGACUAGAGUACGGAAGAGGCGAGUGGAAUUCCUGGUGUAGCGGUGGAAUGCGCAGAUAUCAGGAGGAACACCAAUAGCGAAGGCAGCUCGCUGGGACGAUACUGACGCUAAGGCGCGAAAGCGUGGGGAGCGAACAGG
This 253-nucleotide ribosomal RNA is filed under the name uncultured bacterium. RNAcentral describes it as "partial 16S ribosomal RNA". It matches the Rfam family "Bacterial small subunit ribosomal RNA", at positions 524 to 776 of the family's 1533-position model. The record is from RNAcentral.